Molecule: long non-coding RNA, 701 nt
Organism: Homo sapiens (human)
Lineage: Eukaryota; Metazoa; Chordata; Mammalia; Primates; Hominidae
Source: Ensembl
GCAGGCACUGUCACUUUUCAUCACAGUCAUUUGAAACAAAGGAUUUUAUAGCUAAGCAGGAGAAGAUUCCUUCCAAAGAAGAUGGAGACAGACCAGACAGUGAACGCUGUCACUAUGUCAUUGGUGGCACCUUGGGCCUGGUCAGUCGCCAACCCUCUGCUUCUUGGGCGUCCAGGUCGAGUGUACUGACAGACGACAUAAUGGACACUGUUGCUUCCCCCAGCAGCCACUGCCCUCUUCCUUUUCCUAACAACAUCCCUAGUGUGCCCAGAAAGCCACCCUCCUGCUGACACCCACGAGGCUCAGAGAAGCUCAGACCUUGCACCUCAGGUGGACUGUCAGCAGAGCCUACUUCUUGGGCCAGUUACUGGCCCAGCCGUGGCAAAGUUACCUGAGUGGGACCAAUUCAGCUGAGGAAUGAGGUGUCGCAUGCCAUGUUCCUACCCACUGGACAGAAAAAGAAGGUGUUGUCCUAAGGCUGCUGGCUGCCAUCUGCUGACCAUGCGGAAACCAGCUUGAGGCAAAGACAGUGCCUAGGACGGCAUGGCCAAAGAGAUACAGACGACCCUGGUGACAUCUCCAAGCCCCAUCUCUGGACAUCCUGCUGUGAGAAAUGGCAUGCCCCCAACUGGACAUUCUCCAUACAACCCCACCAACUAAGAACUACUGUGCUGAACUACAUUAAAGUGCUGAUAUGACCA